AAUUAUUUCUAGAGGUUCUAGAGUCAGUUUUAUAUUUCUCUUUACAUUUUGAGACAGUGAAUUAAUAGACAAUAAAUAACUGCAAAGUAAAAAAUACAUUUUCUAAAUGUACUAAAAUUCCAAAAAGAGUUGCUAUCUGCACCAACGAUUAAAUUUUAAUGUGUAAAAAAGGAUAUUGAAGAAAUAUAUAUUUCACAGACGCUGGAAAGAUCACCCGAGGUUUAGAAGAAAUCGAAACUCGUUACAAACCGAAUACUUUUAAAACGAAAGUAAGGUUUUAAAAGAUAUUCAAUCUACGUAAGAGGAAAAAAACUCCCGACACUUAGACUGCUGUAGUAGAGGAAAUUUAAGCCAUUUCAACAUUUCUGCUGUCAUCGAUCAAGAAAUUGUGCAAUAAUAGUGUUUCUGCAAA
Leptopilina heterotoma is the source of this 412-nucleotide long non-coding RNA. RefSeq lists it as uncharacterized. The record is from RefSeq and is a predicted model, not a curated record. The transcript has 3 exons. NCBI's taxonomy places the organism in Eukaryota, Metazoa, Arthropoda, Insecta, Hymenoptera, Figitidae.